This 57-nucleotide transfer RNA is filed under the name Clostridioides difficile. RNAcentral describes it as "tRNA-Asn". It matches the Rfam family "tRNA", at positions 9 to 63 of the family's 71-position model. Rfam says of the family: Transfer RNA (tRNA) molecules are approximately 80 nucleotides in length. The record is from RNAcentral. Lineage: Bacteria; Bacillati; Bacillota; Clostridia; Peptostreptococcales; Peptostreptococcaceae.
AGCUCAACGGUGGAGCAACCGGCUGUUAACCGGUAGGCUGUGGGUUCGAGCCCCACC